Molecule: ribosomal RNA, 451 nt
Filed under: uncultured bacterium
Lineage: Bacteria
Description: bacterial SSU rRNA
Rfam family: Bacterial small subunit ribosomal RNA
Source: RNAcentral
GAUGAACGCUGGCGGCGUGCUUAACACAUGCAAGUCGAACGAAGCACUCUAUUUGAUUUUCUUCGGAAAUGAAGAUUUUGUGACUGAGUGGCGGACGGGUGAGUAACGCGUGGGUAACCUGCCUCAUACAGGGGGAUAACAGUUGGAAACGACUGCUAAUACCGCAUAAGCGCACAGGAUCGCAUGAUCCGGUGCGAAAAACUCCGGUGGUAUGAGAUGGACCCGCGUCUGAUUAGCCAGUUGGCAGGGUAACGGCCUACCAAAGCGACGAUCAGUAGCCGACCUGAGAGGGUGACCGGCCACAUUGGGACUGAGACACGGCCCAAACUCCUACGGGAGGCAGCAGUGGGGAAUAUUGCACAAUGGGGGAAACCCUGAUGCAGCGACGCCGCGUGAGCGAAGAAGUAUUUCGGUAUGUAAAGCUCUAUCAGCAGGGAAGAAGAAUGACGGU